UACCUGGUUGAUCCUGCCAGUAGUCAUAUGCUUGUCUCAAAGAUUAAGCCAUGCAUGUCUAAGUAUAAACUUUUAUACUGUGAAACUGCGAAUGGCUCAUUAAAUCAGUUAUCGUCUAUUUGAUUGUGCCCUUACUACAUGGAUAACCGUAGUAAUUCUAGAGCUAAUACAUGCGAAAAGUCCCGACUUCUGGAAGGGAUGUAUUUAUUAGAUUAAAAACCAAUGCGUUUAACGACGCUUUUCGGUGAUUCAUAAUAACUGUUCGAAUCGCAUGGCCCUCGUGCCGGCGAUGUUUCAUUCGAGUUUCUGCCCUAUCAACUUUCGAUGGUAAGGUAUUGGCUUACCAUGGUGACAACGGGUAACGGAGAAUUAGGGUUCGAUUCCGGAGAGGGAGCCCGAGAAACGGCUACCACAUCUAAGGAAGGCAGCAGGCGCGCAAAUUACCCAAUCCUGACACAGGGAGGUAGUGACAAGAAAUAACAAAGCAGGCGCUUACCGCGUUCUGCUAUUGGAAUGAGUAGAAUUUAAAUCACUUUUCGACUAUCCAUUGGAGGGCAAGUCUGGUGCCAGCAGCCGCGGUAAUUCCAGCUCCAAUAGCGUAUAUUAAAGUUGUUGCGGUAAAAAAGCUCGUAGUUGGAUUUCUGUUGAGGGCGACCGGUCCACACCACGUGUGCGCAUCUGGCUUCGACCUCGGCAUCCUCUCGUUGAAUCGUUUCUGCGCUUCAUUGCGUGGAGCGGAUCGCGGGACCUUUACUUUGAGGAAAUUAGAGUGUUCACGGCAGGCUAUCGCCAGAAUACAUUAGCAUGGAAUAAUACUAUAGGAUCACGGUUCUAUUUUGUUGGUUUCUAGAAUUGUGAUAAUGAUUAAUAGGGACAAUUGGGGGCAUUCGUAUCAACACGUCAGAGGUGGAACUCUUGGAUUGUGUUGCGACGAACUACUGCGAAAGCAUUUGCCAAGGAUGUUUUCAUUAAUCAAGAACGAAAGUAAGGGGAUCGAAGACGAUUAGAUACCGUCGUAGUCUUUACCAUAAACUAUGCCAACUAGAGAUGAGGCAUCGUUCACUUACGACUUGCUUCGCACCUUAUGAGAUAUCAAAGUUUUUGGGUUCCGGGGGGGAGUAUGGUCGCAAAGAUUGAAACUUAAAGGAAUUGACGGAAGGGCACCACCAGGAGUGGAGCCUGCGGCUUAAUUUGACUCAACACGGGGAAACUCACCAGGUCCAGACAUAAUAAGGAUUGACAGAUUGAUAGCUCUUUCUUGAUUUUAUGGGUGGUGGUGCAUGGCCGUUCUUAGUUCGUGGAGUGAUUUGUCUGCUUAAUUGCGUUAACGAACGAGACCUUAACCUGCUAAAUAGAAGCGGCUAUCUUCGGAUAACCGCCUUUCUUCUUAGAGGGACUGUACGCGUUUCAGCGUGCGGAAGUUUGAGGCUAAAACAGGUCUGUGAUGCCCUUAGAUGUUCUGGGCUGCACGCGCGCUACACUGAUGCGUUCAACGAGUGUACAACCUUGCCCGAUAGGGUUGGGUAACCUUCUGAACUCGCAUCGUGAUGGGGAUAGAUUAUUGCAAUUAUUAAUCUCAAACGAGGAAUUCCUAGUAAUGAUGGAUCAUCAGUUCAUCGUGAUUACGUCCCUGCCCUUUGUACACACCGCCCGUCGCUCCUACCGAUUGAGCAAUCCGGUGAAUAUUUCGGACCGAACCUCGUCGGGGCAACUCGUUCGAGGAUUGGAAAGUCAAGUUAACCUUAUUGCUUAGAGGAAGGAGAAGUCGUAACAAGGUUUCCGUAGGUGAACCUGCAGAAGGAUC
This 1804-nucleotide ribosomal RNA is filed under the name uncultured eukaryote. Its description in RNAcentral is "SSU rRNA". It matches the Rfam family "Eukaryotic small subunit ribosomal RNA". The record is from RNAcentral.